RNAcentral lists this ribosomal RNA (253 nucleotides) under uncultured bacterium. RNAcentral describes it as "partial 16S ribosomal RNA". It matches the Rfam family "Bacterial small subunit ribosomal RNA", at positions 524 to 776 of the family's 1533-position model. The record is from RNAcentral.
UACGUAGGUGGCAAGCGUUGUCCGGAAUUAUUGGGCGUAAAGCGCGCGCAGGCGGUCCUUUAAGUCUGAUGUGAAAGCCCACGGCUCAACCGUGGAGGGUCAUUGGAAACUGGGGGACUUGAGUACAGAAGAGAAGAGUGGAAUUCCACGUGUAGCGGUGAAAUGCGUAGAGAUGUGGAGGAACACCAGUGGCGAAGGCGACUCUUUGGUCUGUAACUGACGCUGAGGCGCGAAAGCGUGGGGAGCGAGCCGG